This 371-nucleotide ribosomal RNA is filed under the name uncultured organism. RNAcentral describes it as "bacterial SSU rRNA". It matches the Rfam family "Bacterial small subunit ribosomal RNA", at positions 526 to 896 of the family's 1533-position model. The record is from RNAcentral.
CGUAGGUGGCAAGCGUUGUCCGGAAUUAUUGGGCGUAAAGCGCGCGCAGGCGGUUCCUUAAGUCUGAUGUGAAAGCCCCCGGCUCAACCGGGAAGGUCAUUGGAAACUGGGGAACUUGAGUGCAGAAGAGAAGAGCGGAAUUCCACGUGUAGCGGUGAAAUGCGUAGAGAUGUGGAGGAACACCAGUGGCGAAGGCGGCUCUUUGGUCUGUAACUGACGCUGAGGCGCGAAAGCGUGGGGAGCAAACAGGAUUAGAUACCCUGGUAGUCCACGCCGUAAACGAUGAGUGCUAAGUGUUAGAGGGUUUCCGCCCUUUAGUGCUGCAGCUAACGCAUUAAGCACUCCGCCUGGGGAGUACGGCCGCAAGGCUG